CGCUAGCUACAGGCUUAACACAUGCAAGUCGAGGGUCAGCAUGGUCUUAGCUUGCUAAGGCCGAUGGCGACCGGCGCACGGGUGAGUAACACGUAUCCAACCUGCCGUCUACUCUUGGACAGCCUUCUGAAAGGAAGAUUAAUACAAGAUGGCAUCAUGAGUCCGCAUGUUCACAUGAUUAAAGGUAUUCCGGUAGACGAUGGGGAUGCGUUCCAUUAGAUAGUAGGCGGGGUAACGGCCCACCUAGUCUUCGAUGGAUAGGGGUUCUGAGAGGAAGGUCCCCCACAUUGGAACUGAGACACGGUCCAAACUCCUACGGGAGGCAGCAGUGAGGAAUAUUGGUCAAUGGGCGAGAGCCUGAACCAGCCAAGUAGCGUGAAGGAUGACUGCCCUAUGGGUUGUAAACUUCUUUUAUAAAGGAAUAAAGUCGGGUAUGGAUACCCGUUUGCAUGUACUUUAUGAAUAAGGAUCGGCUAACUCCGUGCCAGCAGCCGCGGUAAUACGGAGGAUCCGAGCGUUAUCCGGAUUUAUUGGGUUUAAAGGGAGCGUAGAUGGAUGUUUAAGUCAGUUGUGAAAGUUUGCGGCUCAACCGUAAAAUUGCAGUUGAUACUGGAUAUCUUGAGUGCAGUUGAGGUAGGCGGAAUUCGUGGUGUAGCGGUGAAAUGCUUAGAUAUCACGAAGAACUCCGAUUGCGAAGGCAGCCUGCUAAGCUGCAACUGACAUUGAGGCUCGAAAGUGUGGGUAUCAAACAGGAUUAGAUACCCUGGUAGUCCACACGGUAAACGAUGAAUACUCGCUGUUUGCGAUAUACAGCAAGCGGCCAAGCGAAAGCGUUAAGUAUUCCACCUGGGGAGUACGCCGGCAACGGUGAAACUCAAAGGAAUUGACGGGGGCCCGCACAAGCGGAGGAACAUGUGGUUUAAUUCGAUGAUACGCGAGGAACCUUACCCGGGCUUAAAUUGCAGAUGAAUUACGGUGAAAGCCGUAAGCCGCAAGGCAUCUGUGAAGGUGCUGCAUGGUUGUCGUCAGCUCGUGCCGUGAGGUGUCGGCUUAAGUGCCAUAACGAGCGCAACCCUUGUUGUCAGUUACUAACAGGUUCCGCUGAGGACUCUGACAAGACUGCCAUCGUAAGAUGUGAGGAAGGUGGGGAUGACGUCAAAUCAGCACGGCCCUUACGUCCGGGGCUACACACGUGUUACAAUGGGGGGUACAGAGGGCCGCUACCACGCGAGUGGAUGCCAAUCCCCAAAACCUCUCUCAGUUCGGACUGGAGUCUGCAACCCGACUCCACGAAGCUGGAUUCGCUAGUAAUCGCGCAUCAGCCACGGCGCGGUGAAUACGUUCCCGGGCCUUGUACACACCGCCCGUCAAGCCAUGGGAGCCGGGGGUACAAGGAGUGCGUAACCGCGAGGAGCGCCCUAGGGUAAA
This 1428-nucleotide ribosomal RNA is filed under the name uncultured organism. RNAcentral's name for it is "SSU rRNA". It matches the Rfam family "Bacterial small subunit ribosomal RNA". The record is from RNAcentral.